This is an RNA transcript of Cyclopterus lumpus (lumpfish), 5106 nucleotides long. It is a transcript of the gene named death effector domain-containing 1, with no coding region annotated. NCBI's taxonomy places the organism in Eukaryota, Metazoa, Chordata, Actinopteri, Perciformes, Cyclopteridae. The record is from RefSeq and is a predicted model, not a curated record. The transcript has 5 exons.
UGGGAUGAAAACGAUCUGACGUCAUCAAGCAGGCGCAGAGCUGUGAUUGGUCAGUUCCUCUGUGUUGUUGUGCUACUGUCCGUGGGACUCGCCCGACCAUCCGCCCUAAAGAGGAACAGAAACGUGAUGACGUAACGCACGGGGGGGUAAUUCGCUCCAACGGUGGUCGCUGCUGUGUGUUUGACGAACACCUGCCCCUGGUUCAGUAACACGGUCUCUGCAACGACGACAACAAACGCACAUUCACAGCCGACCACGACUUUGCGUUGCAUGUUGCAAGAUGGCGUCGAGCUGACAUCGUAAAUCAGGUAGGACUGCAGGGCCGCUACCGCCGUCUUUGAAAGCCAGGGACUCGGAGUGGAGGAGGUGCCCGUUAGACGUGACCUUCCGCUCGCAGAGCGCGGACGGCUUGCUGCUGGCUUUUGAUAACGCUUAGUUCACGAGGAAUGUGGCUUCCUUGCUGUUUGUUUAUUUGUCUACAUGUGUACAACAUGACUUAAUGUGGCGUGAUUUGAGGCAUCAGGAGGUUAAACCACUCAACGCGAAUCUUGUGCUGUUAUUUCACAACUUCACAAUUGGUGAGUGAGACCUGCCGAAUAACUUGUUUUGAUGUUUGUGUUUUUGUUUAUUAAUCCUGAACAGUUUGACACAGGUGGGAAGGUGGAGAGGGGCUGUAGGCAGACCCAUGGCUGCCGUGCAUCACCCAGGGUGCCCACUCAGGGACUCACUUUACUGGGAUGAAACAGAGUGUCUAAACUACUAUGGGAUGUUGUCUCUCCAUGAGGUCUUUGAAGUCGUUGGUUGUCAGCUGACGGAGACUGACGUUGAAGUGUUGUCAUUCCUUCUGGAUGAAACGUGUCCUGCAACACACCCUCUUGACCCAACAGAUUGGACAGUUAAGCCCUGUGUAGGCGAUCCAGAUUACUUUGGUGUUUCCCCGAGUCCCGAGCUGCUAAAGGCCUGGAAGCGGUUAAAGCCUCAGGGCUCCCAGCAUCCCUUAGCGGCCUCGUAUAAGCCCAAGAGUGGCCUUGAGCUGUUGUUGGAGCUGGAUAGGCGAGGAUACCUCAGUGACGGCAACCUGGAGCCACUACUGCAACUACUGAGAGUCCUCACUCGUCAUGACUUGCUGCCUUUAGUGUCCCGCAAGAAAAGAAGGACAGGUGAGGAUGAAAGACGGGCUCAUGAGCAGAUUUUGAGAACGAGUGCUUCUCUCUACCAUGGACUUCUAGAACAUGUCAGCAAUAACUGCAUUCCUGUCCAAAAAGGCAUAGCCUGAUACAUACAAACACGUGUUUUUGUUUUUCAGUAUCUCCAGAGAGAAUUGGACCGCGAUAUGGAACAGAGAACAACCAGUUGUCCUCUGGGAUACAGCACAGCCACAGACAGACAGAAAUACCUCUUCCAUAUUUCACGCAGCAAUUAAGAACUGGUAUUUACCCUCCGCCGCCUGGGCCAUCUGCUCGGAGGAGGAGGAAGAAGAGGGGAAAUGGCUGGAGCCGCAGGCCCAAGAAAAUCUGCCGACAGGGCCCUCCACUUCCUCCACCACGACCACACAAAGCGUUCUGCAGUUGUCUCAGGAUUGUGACUCAGAUCGAGUAACCUAAGACUCACUGGAUCGUGGAGACAGAGACUGAGGAACAAAACAAAAAAAGUCUCUCCACUCAGUCCAUAGAUACUGCCGUGUGCGUGAUCAACUCAGCCGUGUGCGUGAUCAACUCAGUCGUGUGCGCUCUCUCACAAGUCUGGGCCGAUGCCUAAGUUCGAAAACAGUAUCCUCACACACAAUCAGAAGGACAGAACGAGCUCUAAAUGAUCAAACUACGCAAAAUGGUACCAAGAGUGAUUUUUGUCUUUGGGGGAAAGAGAGAGUUCUGUCUGCCCGUCUCUCAAUACUCCCGAACUCUCCACUCUCUCUCGGUCAGUCAUUCAGCAGAAAAACGGAUCGAUAAAGAGUUGAAGCUCUCUGUGCCAAGUGACUCCUUGUAAAUGGGUACUUAAACUUUUCUUCUUCUUUUUUUGAAGGGGUGGGGGUGAGAUGGAGGAAGCCAAACGGGCUGGGUGUUUAAAGUGAGAAAAUGAAAGCUGUGCCUCCUAAUGUUCUGUCUAAGUGGAUGUCUCUGUGUCUGAUGAAGCGUGAAGUGCUCUGUAACCCUAACAAAAUGACUAUCAUGGUGUUCCUGUGGUUUUAAAUGGCCUUCUCCUCGGUGCCACUAUCUCUACCUCCAUCCUGCUCAGUAUGAAAUGGGAAGGCAGACAUGGAGGCCAUCCAUAAAUACAGUAAUUGCAUGAAGGGUGGUUGUUUGUCAUAGCCACAGCCCUCCGCACAGUAUAAUGAUCCAAAAGGUCAAACUGUUAACGGAGCUUUAACUUAAUAUAUCACUGAGCCCGUACUGAACAUUGUGUAAGAGUGCAAAGAGUUAACUGACAGAUAAUUAGACAUUUUGUGAUAAAUCUGAAUACUGAAAUACUUUAACACAUCCCGUGUCUGCUGAUUUGUCAUUAUUCUUGCAUGGACAUUGUACAACUUUGAAUCGCCAUGUAUGCCUUUUUGACACCGAUUUAAGCCUUUGUCAAAGUGAGAACAAAUCUGCACAAAUUCCUGGGUUAUUAUGCAAAAGAAAUGAUCUUCGUCACAGUUCUCUUGGCCGACUGCAGCAGGUUGCUCCUUCAGGACUUCCCUGUAUUUGUGCUGCAUUCAGUUUAAUCCCUAUGUUCUCGAGCAAUGCAGGGCCUGCUGCAGUGAAGCAUCCCACAGCAGGAUGCUGCUCCCAUCACACUUGAAUGUGGGGUUGGUUGAUUUCUGUUGGUGAGCUGUGAUUUGGCAUAUGCCAAACACUGAGGGAGGAGACAUCUUGUAAUAGUUUCUUUUAAUGCUCAUUCCUCUGCACCCGCCUUACGGUUGUGUGCAGUGUCUCCCAUCUCAGUUUCCAUAAGCGUCUCAGGGGCCAUCUUCAACCAGUACUUGUCUUCGGUCCAGCAUGCUCUCGGUAGAUUACCAUAUAUUUUAGGAUUGAUUGAACUGCAUACAAGGUUAUUGUGGCUUUUGAAGCUUUUCUGUUCCCUUCCCCUCACUGAUAUUUUUGAGUUACCAAUCAGCAACAGCCGCUAUUCUGUUGGCCAUGUUUGUCCUCAUGAUGCAGACUUGCUGGCUGUUAGCGGUCCACUGUUGAUCAGUGUUGUAAAACAAUAAAACACCAAAAGAGGGGGGAUGAAUACUUACUGGCUGUACGUACUCUGAGGACAGGUGUGGAUCUGUGCUGUGACCAAAUAAUGUACGUGUAGCUCUGUUUUGUCAAUGAAUUGACCUCAAGGUUAUUACAGACUAAUACAAGUAAUGAUGACAUUGUAUUAGAGACAGGGUUUAAUAAUUUGUCAAGUAACAAUCAAAUGUCUUAUUCCUGUAAAUGUUUCAUGUUGCAUCUGUGAACAAAAAAACGUGCCUUUUUUUUUUUUGUAUGAGCUAAUGUAAAUUGAAUGGUUUCCCAGUCUUAUCCCCAGCCCUGCAUGUUUUAAACAUUUACCAAACAUCAUCGAUUAAGCGUCCACUUUGAUCCAGUGCUCUGUUUUUAUAGUAAUCUAAUUACAGCCUAAUGAAGCUUGAAUGCAAAUGCCAAUGUUUGGUCAUCGCUGUCCUAUAAAUGUUAAGUCAUGCAAAAUCAAUGCCUUAAUUCAACUUUUGCAUUUCUAAUGUUGACAUUUUCUGAACUUCAUCCCUCUGGAGUCUUGUGCCAUUCCCCGUAGCCCCAAACCAAAUCUAAAUGGAGACUAAAUGGGACUUUUGACUUGAAUCUUUCAUCAGUGGGGUCAGAGAUACUUUAUAGUUAACCAGAGACCUCGAUGAGUAAAAUGAAAUGAGAUUACGGCCAUCGUCUUCCCAUCAGUCACAAGUAUGAGCUUUAACCACAAAACUCUGGGUCUCAUAUGUGUCAAUAUGCUUAUGAAAUAAGACUCACUUUACUCAACAGUCAAAGGCAUUUUAAAGGGAUACUUUACCCACAAAAUGACCAUUUGUACAGUAUAUCAAUUACUCACCCGCCGUGUCCUCGAGCUAUUGAAGAAAUGCCUCCACGGUGACCUUUUCGCUAACGUGAGCUGUCGAGUGCAAAACCGAGGCAUCAUUCCGAGGCCAUGCGUAACGUAAUAACACGACUUCAGGAGUAGCGAAAGUCAGAUGGCAGCUGCCGGUAGCACGUUUUCGCUCUCGGACUCAGUUUCACAAGCGGUUCUGAGAAUUACGGGGAGCCUUCAGAUAACGUAAAAUCUCUCUCACUCGAGCCAGUGUUUGGUUUGUCCAUUUUGGGCUACUGUAGAAACACGGCAUGAGCACCAUGAGCUCGUCCUAACCUCAAAACAAUGAUUCUUCAAGGAUAUUAUACACUGAAUUAACUGGGGGGAAAAAAAUAGGUUUGAAUAUUUUAUUUUGGCCUUUUUAAAUCCCCUGACACAGGCCCUUUUUUAAGUCCCUUUUAUUAUUAUUUAUUUUUUUCAAUCUUGGGGAGCAGAGGUUUUGGUUUUUCAUAGCAAGAGAUGCAAAUGUGGCUUUAAAACUGCUUGAAAUAAAUGAUCCUACACACCGUUUGCAGAUGAGAAUGUUUCCAGUGAAAUGGAUGGUCGUAGGUACUGUUUACUUCUUCUUAAGGGCUUUGAGUAGAAGGGAUGGAUUUUUGUUGCAGCAAAAGUCGUCAGCAGCUGGUUUCCACUCGAAGCCCUGGAAUAAUGACAUGGGAGACGGUCUCAGCGGUUCUCUUACUCAGUACAGUAUGUAUGUAUCCUCUGAUCUUUCUCGCUGCGCUGUUGCAUGACCACCAAUCCUGUUACUGCCAGACUCCAGCAGCUAUCUGUUCUCGGCAAUAAAACAUGUUGAUAGGAAUGAAUCUGCCGUUUUUAAACACCGGACUGGAACAGAAAGCCCCUCUGGGGCUCAACACUGCUAAGUUGCUCUCAUUGCUGCCGCCACCAUAUUUGUUCAGAGCGUCAAGUUAAUUCUCACUUUAUUAAUUACACCAUGAUUUAUGUCAACCAUGCAGGAUGUCACACUGAAUAUUCUCAUGCAUCAGCUUCUCGUGACCUCUGGCAGUCAUCUAGUUAAAAGCUGACAUGGAUUUG